Molecule: long non-coding RNA, 1418 nt
Organism: Micropterus dolomieu (smallmouth bass)
Lineage: Eukaryota; Metazoa; Chordata; Actinopteri; Centrarchiformes; Centrarchidae
Exons: 3
Source: RefSeq, a predicted model, not a curated record
CUCUCCUGGUCACUGUGCACAAUACUGCAGCUACACCACCAUGGAGAAUGACACCAAGGAGAUCAUUCAUGUUGCCACCAUAGACAAGCGGCAAACAUCAUGGAACUCUGUCGUCAUGGAGAAGGAGGGUUUCAUCCAGACUGGACUGGAAGCUUACAUCAGAAAUAAAGCUAGUGGAGAUCUGCACUGAUGCUCAUGCCCAGAUUGGUGCCCUUAUGAACCCAGACAAAGGCAAAUACAAGGCCCUUGGAAUUCAUCACAGUCUGGACAUAUGGCAUGGUGUGAAGAACCUUGCCAAAAAAAUAGCAGCAUUCUGUCACUUUGGAUGUUCCAUAGAAGAUGUUUGCUGUGAGUGAGAAAAGGAAAGCAACAGUAGGAAAGACAAAUUGGGUUUUUAAUUAAUUGUGCAAAAACUAUGAAGCGAUGAAUUGGCUGGAAAAGGUGCAUUGUCUUACAGUAUAUCCAUUGGUGUUCUGAAGUUAUCUUUAAAUUUUAGUUGUUUAAAGAGCAACAGGAUCUUAUUUUGGGCUGGCCUAUAGUGUCAUUAAAUGAGGAAAAGAGUCCUGUGGAAAUGCUAAAGCCAGGGCUUUAAUUGUAAUUUAAUGCACACCAAAUCAAUACUGUCCUAAAUGAAUCAUUAGGACUUCGCUUUUUUGGUAUUUAGUGUUUCACAGCGCCCUCGGCAGAUCAGCAGUAUAGCAGCUCUAAAUAUUCCACUGGCUGUUUAACAAUUCAGGAGGCAUCAAAUUGAAUGUAGGGGGCACUGAGGUAAGAGGGGAAAGGCCAUGUAAGGAUAGCAAAACUUGAUACUGCAUAAAUGUCGCAUACUUGUAAUCAAUUUCUUUUUUCACCCUCAAUUCUGUCAAUCUAGUAAGAGAUAUUUCCAUUUGAUUCAACAGUUUCAACAUCAGUUGUUUCUACAAGUUCAUCAAUUAAUCCAACUUUAUUUUUGCAUGAUUAUUUGUAUGCCUUUUUCUGAUCUUAUCUCUAAUUCACAUUUCCUGAAAACCCAUUUCAAACAAGUCAGGGAUUCAAACCAGCAAACAUCCGCUCACUAUUUUCUCUGACUUGCAGCCUACCUCUGUUCAUGUAUUUAAGGAAGCCCUCCAUCCUUACACUAUAGAUAAAACCUCUACUUUCAUGGUAAGUCCACUGAGACCCAGGCUUCAUCUAUGCUGGGUGACUCUUAGCUACAGUCUGCAGUAAUGUUGACAACACUGUCUUUUAUCCCCCAGUGGCAGACGUUGAAGAUGAGGGUGUCAAAUUGGUCACUUUAUUGCUUAAGAUGCGUCACUUCAAUGUGAAUUGUGUGUAGGUGUGUGUGUGUGUAUCUCAAGAUGUGUUGAAAGGGCAGCAGUAGAGCACUAAUUGUUUUAAAUGCCUGUGAAGCUGACAAUAAAAAAGGAAGAUGAAUCAUG